This 210-nucleotide long non-coding RNA is filed under the name Nicotiana benthamiana. RNAcentral describes it as "long non-coding RNA (NBEN_LNC001923)". The record is from RNAcentral. Lineage: Eukaryota; Viridiplantae; Streptophyta; Magnoliopsida; Solanales; Solanaceae.
ACAGAGCGUCGAUGCGGGAGAGCUUGGAAAAAUCCGUGCUUUUUCGAGAUUGGAUUCGUGCAGAAAGAAGGAACUUUGGCAUAGCAGAAUCACAAUCAGCAAUAGAUGAGGUAUAUGAAGAAAUGAUAGCAGAACUUGCUGAGGAAGCAACUUCACCCGGAAGGUGAUGAACAAGCUUCAUUUCCACCACCGCCAACACAACCACCUCCC